AUGGAUGGUCACCAAGAUGCCAUCAACAUGACGCAGGCGCUGGAGGCCUUGUCCCCCUAUCUGGAGAAUCCCCGGCGGAUAGUCAUCCGGAACGAAGCUUUUGUGGUCGUGGCAGCCGUGAUGCUGUUCCUGCAACUCAUGCUUGGUCCUUGGCGCCGGCGGUCGGGCCAUUGGUUCGUCCAAGGUACUCUCUGGCUAGCUUACACGCUCAGCUUCCCUGUGAUCACCUAUACCCUUGGUCAGAUGGUGACCUCGCCCGUGAAGAAUGUGUUGUAUCCUGUUUGGGCCCUGAUUCUCUUCUGGGCAACCGGGUCCGCCAACGCUUUCAUGGCUUAUAAUAUCGAGGACAACAAGCGGUGGAAGCGCUACCUCUUUGAGUUCCUUCAGUAUUUUGCGUAUAUAACCAUUAUACUCAGGCUGCUUCGUCCUCCUAAAGGAAUAGGAUUUUCACGGCCAAUUUUUGUUUCUCUUCUUACCUUAAUGAGCCUGGUGCUUUAUACCAAUAUGUAUAGAGUACGUGCUGGUUGGAUGGUCGAGAAUUCUGUUCCCAGCAAAUUAGUAGCCAACUACAUGAGGGCUCUGGUUAAGGUGAACACAAGAUCUAGAGCUGUUCAGGAGGAGACUUUCACAAUGGACAGCUGCAAAUACCUUGUCUGUUAUUAUUAUUUUCUGGGACCAGACAACAUAGGUGGUGUGGAUUCUGCCAUCACCAUCGAGGCAAUCUGGGGCAUGGCAUUUGAUGAUGACAUCCUGCUUAAAAAGCAGCUGAGAGAUGUAUGCCUCUCGUUUGCUCUGUCUCACUUGCUGCGACGCCGCUACUUUGAGAUGGAUUGUGCCGAGGCCGGACUACCCAAUACGCUCAAGUUUGCACUUGAGUGUUUGCUGCCAGAAGAGGAUCAAGUAAACCAUUACUCAGGAGCAUUUCAUGUCAUUGAGGUAGAAUUGGGCUUCCUCUAUGACUUCUUCUUCACAAAGCACGCAACUCUGUUUUCCUUAGAGCUUCAUUUCUUUCUGCUGGUUGUUCUCAAAUUGAUUUGCACUUCUAUCACCGGAUUAUUUCUGCUUACAUAUCCCACCAUUGUCAAUUCACGUGACCCUAUAAUCGAGGUUGGCACAAGAAGGGUUGAUGUUACUGUUACAAUGGUGAUUAUGGGAGCUCUCCUUCUAUUUGAAGUUCUGCAGGCUAUACUAUACCUGACAUCGGAUUGGGCCACUGUUUCACUCGCUUGCAGCUAUACCAGGGGAGAUACAUGCAAACUCAUUCCGUCCAUCAUCCGGUUUCUUAGAAGGUUUAAGUAUGACAAUCUUCUCGGCAAGAGGAUCAAUUAUUUUGGAUAUUGGAGAAAUAAGAUGGGCCAAUCAUCUGUAAUUGGAGGCAACUUGCUUGUCCAUUGGCUCAAUGUGGAACCCAAGAGAGGAAACAUGUUCGAGGAUUUUCUAUGUCUUGCAGUAUACCACCUCAUUUAUUCAACGAUAUUAUCAAUGAAGAAUUUUGUUGUAGUUCCUGAUUUGGUCAAGAGCAAUAUAAUUUCUUGCUUGCGGAUAUAUAGCAACGGCGGUGGUCCUCUAACUAAUGGAAAAGCAGCAUUGGAGCGUAAUGGUGUCCUUGGAGACCUCUCCUCUACACUGGAGAAUGAUAGCCAAAUAGCAGUGAUGCUUAUUUGGCACAUCGCAACUGAGUACUGCAAUAUUGCAUCUUCCAAUGGGGCAGAGGAUGGCCUUCACAAUGGUGCACAGCAAGUUGCCACCACCUUAUCCAAAUAUUGUGCCUACUUAAUGUACUUCGUUCCAGAAUUGCUUGCCGAGAACCCUACGGACACACUAUUCAUCGUCCAUGACGUGCUGAAGAAAGUACAAAGUGCGCUGGGUGGUGACAAACCGACCAAGGAUAGAUUGCUAAGGGUCAUCCAAGACUCUGAAAGCAUCAGGAGCAACGAGGAUCAACCUGUCGUCCAUGCUUCCGACGGCCCCGAUGCCAAUGCUACCAUAAUCCAUAUUCCUCCAGUCAGCAGCAACUCGAAUAACAUUGUCCAUGACUCCAGCAGUGGUAGCGGCACAAGUAAUAUCAUCCACGACUCCAGCAGCAGAAGCAACAACAACCGUACUACCAUCGUCCAAGACUCCACCACCAACAACAAUGAAGAUAGCAUCCUCAUCAGAGGAUUGAAGCUAGGGAGGGAUCUGGAGGCGAAAGAUGUUGACCUCCGCUGGAAGGUGAUGGCAGAAUUCUGGGCUGAGACCAUCAUCUAUAUCGCGCCAUCGGACAAAGCCGCGGAGCACAUGGAAUGCCUCGCGCAAGGAGGGGAAUUCCUUACUCAUAUAUGGGCUCUCCUCACGCACGCGGGCAUUGUGAAGCGUGACCACAUGAUCCCAACACCAGACCAGACGCCAUCCUCAGAAGAUCGUGUGUGGUAG
RNAcentral lists this ribosomal RNA (2415 nucleotides) under Triticum aestivum (bread wheat). RNAcentral's name for it is "partial small subunit ribosomal RNA". The record is from RNAcentral. Lineage: Eukaryota; Viridiplantae; Streptophyta; Magnoliopsida; Poales; Poaceae.